AUACGGAAGGUCCGGGCGUUAUCCGGAUUUAUUGGGUUUAAAGGGAGCGCAGGCGGAGAUGCAAGCGUGACGUCAAAUUUCGGGGCUCAACCCCGUCUCGCGUCGCGAACUGCGUCCCUUGGUUGCGGGAAGGGGAGGCGGAACUCGUGGUGUAGCGGUGAAAUGCAUAGAUAUCACGAAGAACUCCGAUCGCGAAGGCAGCCUUCCGGCCCGUCAACGACGCGCAUGCUCGAAGGUGCGGGUAGCAAACAGGAUUAGAUACCCUGGUAGUCCGCACAGUAAACGAUGGACACCCGCGGUUUGGCCUGUAUGGCUGAGCCGCCAAGCGAAAGCGUUAAGUGUCCCACCUGGGGAGUACGCCGGCAACGGUGAAACUCAAAUGAAUUGACGGGG
This 393-nucleotide ribosomal RNA is filed under the name uncultured bacterium. RNAcentral's name for it is "partial 16S ribosomal RNA". It matches the Rfam family "Bacterial small subunit ribosomal RNA", at positions 523 to 918 of the family's 1533-position model. The record is from RNAcentral.